GUUUGAUCCUGGCUCAGAUUGAACGCUGGCGGCGUGCUUAACACAUGCAAGUCGUGCGAGAAAGGGGGCUUCGGUCCCUGAGUAGAGCGGCGCACGGGUGAGUAACGCGUGGAUUAUCUCCCUCAUUGUUUGGGAUAACGGCGGGAAACUGCCGCUAAUACCGGAUACGCUCCAAUUUCGGUUGGGGGAAAGGCGGCCUCUGCUUGCAAGCUGUCGCAAUGAGAUGAGUCCGCGUCCCAUUAGCUUGUUGGUGGGGUAAUGGCCCACCAAGGCAACGAUGGGUAGCUGGUCUGAGAGGAUGAUCAGCCACACUGGAACUGAAACACGGUCCAGACUCCUACGGGAGGCAGCAGUGGGGAAUAUUGCGCAAUGGGGGAAACCCUGACGCAGCGACGCCGUGUGAGGGAAGAAGGCUUUCGGGUCGUAAACCUCUGUCAGGAAGGAAGAACCUCUCAAGGCUGAACAAGCCUUGGGACUGACGGUACUUCCAGAGGAAGCACCGGCUAACUCCGUGCCAGCAGCCGCGGUAAUACGGAGGGUGCAAGCGUUAAUCGGAAUCACUGGGCGUAAAGCGCGCGUAGGCCGUCUUUUAAGUCGGACGUGAAAGCCCUCGGCUCAACCGGGGAACUGCGUUCGAUACUGGGAGACUUGAGUCCUGGAGAGGGUGGCGGAAUUCCGGGUGUAGGAGUGAAAUCCGUAGAUAUCCGGAGGAACACCGGUGGCGAAGGCGGCCACCUGGACAGGUACUGACGCUGAGGCGCGAAAGCGUGGGGAGCAAACAGGAUUAGAUACCCUGUAGUCCACGCUGUAAACGAUGGAUGCUAGGUGUCGGGGAGCGAUCUUCGGUGCCGCAGUUAACGCAUUAAGCAUCCCGCCUGGGGAGUACGGUCGCAAGGCUGAAACUCAAGGAAUUGACGGGGGCCCGCAC
This 928-nucleotide ribosomal RNA is filed under the name uncultured Desulfovibrio sp. RNAcentral describes it as "bacterial SSU rRNA". It matches the Rfam family "Bacterial small subunit ribosomal RNA", at positions 11 to 926 of the family's 1533-position model. The record is from RNAcentral. Lineage: Bacteria; Pseudomonadati; Thermodesulfobacteriota; Desulfovibrionia; Desulfovibrionales; Desulfovibrionaceae.